This 359-nucleotide ribosomal RNA is filed under the name uncultured Coriobacteriales bacterium. Its description in RNAcentral is "bacterial SSU rRNA". It matches the Rfam family "Bacterial small subunit ribosomal RNA", at positions 8 to 339 of the family's 1533-position model. The record is from RNAcentral. Lineage: Bacteria; Bacillati; Actinomycetota; Coriobacteriia; Coriobacteriales.
AGAGUUUGAUCCGUGCUCAGGACGACGCUGGCGGCGUGCCUAACACAUGCAAGUCGAGCGGGGACAUGCGACGGAUCGGAAGUUUUCGGAUGGAAGAGAAGAUGUAUGUUCUAGCGGCGGACGGGUGAGUAACGCGUGAGCAACCUGUCCUUCACGAGGGGAUAACACAGCGAAAGUUGUACUAAUACCGCAUAAGACCACAACGGGACAUCCCGAAGGGGUCAAAGGAGCAAUCCGGUGAAGGGUGGGCUCGCGUCCGAUUAGAUAGUUGGUGAGGUAACGGCCCACCAAGUCGACGAUCGGUAGCCGACCUGAGAGGGUGAUCGGCCACAUUGGGACUGAGACACGGCCCAAACUCC